CCUAUGGGGGGCAGCAGGCGCGAAAACUUUACAAUGCGGGAAACCGUGAUAAGGGAACUCCGAGUGCCCGUAAAAUCGGGCUGUCCACCAGUUUAAAUAACUGGUGAAGAAAGGGCCGGGCAAGACCGGUGCCAGCCGCCGCGGUAAUACCGGCGGCUCGAGUGGUGGCCACUAUUACUGGGCUUAAAGCGUUCGUAGCUGGUCUGUUAAGUCUCUGGGGAAAUCUACUGGCUUAACCAAUAGGCGUCUCAGGGAUACUGGCAGACUAGGGACCGGGAGAGGUGAGAGGUACUCCAGGGGUAGGAGUGAAAUCCUGUAAUCCUUGGGGGACCACCUGUGGCGAAGGCGUCUCACCAGAACGGCUCCGACAGUGAGGGACGAAAGCUGGGGGAGCAAACCGGAUUAGAUACCCGCGUAGUCC
This 421-nucleotide ribosomal RNA is filed under the name uncultured Methanoregula sp. Its description in RNAcentral is "bacterial SSU rRNA". It matches the Rfam family "Archaeal small subunit ribosomal RNA", at positions 322 to 747 of the family's 1478-position model. Lineage: Archaea; Methanobacteriati; Methanobacteriota; Methanomicrobia; Methanomicrobiales; Methanoregulaceae. The record is from RNAcentral.